This 401-nucleotide ribosomal RNA is filed under the name uncultured Prevotella sp. RNAcentral describes it as "bacterial SSU rRNA". It matches the Rfam family "Bacterial small subunit ribosomal RNA", at positions 355 to 754 of the family's 1533-position model. Lineage: Bacteria; Pseudomonadati; Bacteroidota; Bacteroidia; Bacteroidales; Prevotellaceae. The record is from RNAcentral.
UGAGGAAUAUUGGUCAAUGGCGAGAGCCUGAACCAGCCAAGUAGCGGUGCAGGAAGACGGCCCUAUGGGUUGUAAACUGCUUUUAUGCGGGGAUAAAGUGUGGGACGUGUCCCUUAUUGCAGGUACCGCAUGAAUAAGGACCGGCUAAUUCCGUGCCAGCAGCCGCGGUAAUACGGAAGGUCCGGGCGUUAUCCGGAUUUAUUGGGUUUAAAGGGUGCGCAGGCGGCGCGCCAAGUCAGCGGUCAAAGUUCCGGGCUCAACCCGGUGUCGCCGUUGAAACUGGCGUGCUCGAGUGCGUGCGAGGAAGGCGGAAUGCGUUGUGUAGCGGUGAAAUGCAUAGAUAUGACGCAGAACUCCGAUUGCGAAGGCAGCGUACCGGCGCCCGACUGACGCUGAGGCAC